This 424-nucleotide ribosomal RNA is filed under the name uncultured bacterium. RNAcentral's name for it is "bacterial SSU rRNA". It matches the Rfam family "Bacterial small subunit ribosomal RNA", at positions 954 to 1378 of the family's 1533-position model. The record is from RNAcentral.
GCUUAACGCGAAGAACCUUACCAAGGCUUGACAUAUAGCAGAACGCUCUAGAAAUAGAGAACUCUUUGGACACUGUUAUACAGGUGGUGCAUGGUUGUCGUCAGCUCGUGUCGUGAGAUGUUCGGUUAAGUCCGGCAACGAGCGCAACCCUCGUCCUAUGUUGCCAGCGGUUCGGCCGGGAACUCAUGGGAUACUGCCGUGGUCAACACGGAGGAAGGUGGGGAUGACGUCAAAUCAUCAUGCCCCUUAUGUCUUGGGCUUCACGCAUGCUACAAUGGCCGGUACAAUGGGCUGCGAUACCGUGAGGUGGAGCGAAUCCCAAAAAGCCGGUCUCAGUUCGGAUCGGGGUCUGCAACUCGACCCCGUGAAGUCGGAGUCGCUAGUAAUCGCAGAUCAGCAACGCUGCGGUGAAUACGUUCCCGGG